CCUACGGGAGGCAGCAGUGAGGAAUAUUGCUCAAUGGACGAAAGUCUGAAGCAGCGACGCCGCGUGAGGGAUGAAGUCCGUUUGGAUGUAAACCUCUUUUGCAGAAGAAGAAUGUUUCGAUUUCUCGAAAUUGACGGUAUUUUGCGAAUAAGCACCGGCUAACUACGUGCCAGCAGCCGCGGUAAUACGUAGGGUGCGAGCGUUGUCCGGAAUUACUGGGUGUAAAGGGUCCGCAGGCGGGCGAGUAAGUCUGUGGUGAAAUCUUACGGCUUAACCGUAAAAUUGCCACGGAAACUGAUUGCCUUGAGUGUGAAAGAGGAAGAUGGAAUUCAUGGUGUAGCAGUGAAAUGCGUAGAUAUCAUGAAGAACACCGGUAGCGAAGGCGAUCUUCUGGUUCACAACUGACGCUCAGGGACGAAAGCGUGGGGAGCAAACAGGAUUAGAUACCCUGGCAGUCACGACCUAACCACUGAUACUACGAUGUCGUAGUCGAAGAGUCGGUGUCUG
This 507-nucleotide ribosomal RNA is filed under the name uncultured bacterium. RNAcentral's name for it is "bacterial SSU rRNA". It matches the Rfam family "Bacterial small subunit ribosomal RNA", at positions 338 to 849 of the family's 1533-position model. The record is from RNAcentral.